Molecule: ribosomal RNA, 490 nt
Filed under: uncultured bacterium
Lineage: Bacteria
Description: partial 16S ribosomal RNA
Rfam family: Bacterial small subunit ribosomal RNA
Source: RNAcentral
AUUGAACGCUGGCGGCAGGCCUAACACAUGCAAGUCGAACGGUAACAGGAAGAAGCUUGCUUCUUUGCUGACGAGUGGCGGACGGGUGAGUAAUGUCUGGGAAACUGCCUGAUGGAGGGGGAUAACUACUGGAAACGGUAGCUAAUACUGCAUAACGUCGCAAAACCAAAGAGGGGGACCUUCGGGCCUCUUGCCAUCGGAUGUGCCCAGAUGGGAUUAGCUAGUAGGUGGGGUAACGGCUCACCUAGGCGACGAUCCGUAGCUGGUAUGAGAGUAUGGCCAGCCACACUGGAACUGAGACACGGUCCAGACUCCAAGGGGAGGCGGCAGUGGGAAAUAUUGCACAAUGGGCGCAAGCCUGAUGCAGCCAUGCCGCGUGUAUGAAGAAGGUCUUCGGGUUGUAAAGUACUUUCAGCGGGGAGGAAGGGAGUAAAGUUAAUAACUUUACUCAUUGACGUUACCCGCAGAAGAAGCGCCGUCUAACUCCGUG